This 85-nucleotide transfer RNA is filed under the name Gemmatimonas sp. Its description in RNAcentral is "tRNA-Ser". The record is from RNAcentral. Lineage: Bacteria; Pseudomonadati; Gemmatimonadota; Gemmatimonadia; Gemmatimonadales; Gemmatimonadaceae.
GUGGGGUUGGCCGAGUUUCGAACGCGGACGGUCUUGAAAACCGUUAUCCGAAAAGGACUUGUGGGUCCGAGUCCCACGCCCUCCG